RNAcentral lists this ribosomal RNA (520 nucleotides) under uncultured Glomeromycotina. RNAcentral describes it as "SSU rRNA". It matches the Rfam family "Eukaryotic small subunit ribosomal RNA", at positions 569 to 1090 of the family's 1831-position model. The record is from RNAcentral. Lineage: Eukaryota; Fungi; Glomeromycota.
AGCAGCCGCGGUAAUUCCAGCUCCAAUAGCGUAUAUUAAAGUUGUUGCAGUUAAAAAGCUCGUAGUUGAAUUUCGGGAUUAGUAAGUUGGUCGUGCCUCCGGUAUGUACUGGCUCUACUGGUUCCUCCUUCUUGAAGAACUGUAAUGUCAUUAAUUUGGUGUUGCAGGGAAACAGGACCGUUACUUUGAAAAAAUUAGAGUGUUUAAAGCAGGCUAACGCUUGAAUACAUUAGCAUGGAAUAAUGAAAUAGGACGUUUGAUCCUAUUUUGUUGGUUUCUAGGAUUGACGUAAUGAUUAAUAGGGAUAGUUGGGGGCAUUAGUAUUCAAUUGUCAGAGGUGAAAUUCUUGGAUUUAUUGAAGACUAACUACUGCGAAAGCAUUUGCCAAGGAUGUUUUCAUUAAUCAAGAACGAAAGUUAGGGGAUCGAAGACGAUCAGAUACCGUCGUAGUCUUAACCAUAAACUAUGCCGACUAGGGAUCGGAUGAUGUUAAUUUUUUAAUGACUCAUUCGGCGCCUUA